Molecule: ribosomal RNA, 460 nt
Filed under: uncultured bacterium
Lineage: Bacteria
Description: partial 16S ribosomal RNA
Rfam family: Bacterial small subunit ribosomal RNA
Source: RNAcentral
CCUACGGGCGGCAGCAGUGAGGAAUAUUGGUCAAUGGACGAGAGCCUGAACCAGCCAAGUAGCGUGAAGGAUGACUGCCCUAUGGGUUGUAAACUUCUUUUAUAUGGGAAUAAAAUGUUCCACGUGUGGGAUUUUGUAUAUACCAUAUGAAUAAAGCACGGCUAACUCCGUGCCAGCCGCCGCGGUAAUACGGAGGGUCCGCGCGUUUUCCGGAUUUUUUGGGUUUAAAGGGAGCGUAGGUGGAUGGGUAAGUCCGUUGUGAAAGUUUGCGGCGCAACCGUAAAAUUGCAGUUGAAACUGGCAGUCUUGAGUACAGGAGAGGUGUGCGGAAUGCGUGGUGUAGCGGUGAAAUGCUUAGAUAUCACGAAGAACCCCGAUUGCGAAGGCAGCUCACUGGAUUGCAACUGACACUGAGGCUCGAAAGUGUGGGUAUCAAACAGGAUUAGAUACCCUAGUAGUC